Pseudoliparis swirei is the source of this 255-nucleotide long non-coding RNA. RefSeq lists it as uncharacterized. The transcript is spliced from 3 exons. NCBI's taxonomy places the organism in Eukaryota, Metazoa, Chordata, Actinopteri, Perciformes, Liparidae. The record is from RefSeq and is a predicted model, not a curated record.
AGGUCCUGGACGUCUGCUUUGACCUCAGUGGUCAGCUGGUGGCUUCUGCUUCUGCUGAUGGCACAGCCAGAGUGUUCAGCACCACCACUCACCAGUGUCUGGUGACCCUGGAGGGCCACGGCGGGGAGGUCUCCACGAUCUGCUUCAGCCCUCAGGGCAGCCGGAUCCUGACGGCCGGCCAGGACUCGACGGCCCGGCUGUGGGACGUCCGGUCUGGAGUCUGCCUCCAAGUCCUGGAGGGUCACACGGACGAGA